This 740-nucleotide ribosomal RNA is filed under the name uncultured fungus. Its description in RNAcentral is "eukaryotic LSU rRNA". It matches the Rfam family "Eukaryotic large subunit ribosomal RNA", at positions 24 to 664 of the family's 3401-position model. Lineage: Eukaryota; Fungi. The record is from RNAcentral.
CCCGCUGAACUUAAGCAUAUCAAUAAGCGGAGGAAAAGAAACUAACAAGGAUUCCCCUAGUAACGGCGAGUGAAGCGGGAAGAGCUCAAAUUUGGAAUCUGGCGCCUUCGGCGCCCGAGUUGUAAGCUAGAGAGGCGUUUUCGGCGGGCGCCCGGGUAUAAGUCCCCUGGAACUGGGCAUCAUAGAGGGUGAGAAUCCCGUCUUUGACCCGGAGCAGCCUGCUAUGUGAUACGUCUUCAAAGAGUCGGUUUGUUUGGGAAUGCAGACCAAAAUGGGUGGUAAAUUCCAUCUAAAGCUAAAUACAGGCGAGAGACCGAUAGCGAACAAGUACCGUGAGGGAAAGAUGAAAAGAACUUUGAAAAGAGAGUUAAACAGUACGUGAAAUUGUUGAAAGGGAACCGUUUGGAAUCAGCCUUGCCGGCUUGAAGUCAGCCUGUGGUGGCGACACCCUGGUGCAUUUUCUGCCGGCAGGUCAGCGUCAGUUUUGGUGGCCGGAAAACGACCUUGGGAAGGUGGCUCCGUUCGCGGAGUGUUAUAGCCCUUGGCCAGCGCGGUGACCGGGACUGAGGUCUGCAGCCAGCUGGGGUUCGUCCCUGGCGGGGGGCGCGAUCGCUGGGUGGGCUCCGAACGUUGACAGCUUGCUGUCCACGUUCGGGGGACGCCGCCCACACGACCGUGGUCCCUCCUCCUGGCUUAGGUCGCUGACUUAAUGAUUCUAAAUGACCCGUCUUGAAACACGG